GCCACCGGGUCGUGUUACACGCACGGCAUCAGUCGCCGACCGCUUACCGUUCAAGAUAGUGGCGGCGCUCGCCAACGAUUUGGAUUGUGUCCGCUGAAGUGCGCGGUGAUUGCGUAUUAAAAACAGCUCUGCGGCUGCAGUGUUCGUAUCUGAUUGUUGCAGUAUAACUGCAAUGAUAAUAAUAUUAAUAUAAAUUGUAUACGGUCUUCGUUUCAACGACCGCGUAACACUCGUAAUAGUAAUAACAACAUUAUGAUAUCGAUGCACCGCCUUAACCGUGUCCUGUCUGUACCGUGGUAUACGUGUUAUAUGUUUCUCAUAAACGCGUAAAGGCCGACGUAAUUUUUGUUGGUCCAUCACAGUCUCACCACCGUCAGUGACGCGUCUUUAUUAUUAUUGUUAUGCGACACGUAUUCUCGAUUAUUGUCAUAGAUUUUUCGACGCCGGCAGAAAAAAAUAACAUAACACGACGAAAAUAAACAAAAACUAUAUAGAUAUCAACAGGUGUAUCAACUCGGCGUCCUGCGUCAAAUACGCGUGUCGUCAACGCGCCGCAGCUUUCAACGAAAAAUAAUAAAUUAUACCCAGCCAAAAGCUGCUCACGUGUGUACACGGACAGAUAUAAUCAUAAACGCACUGCCGUCUGCCACUGCUGCAGGACUUGGAUUAUACAGGACUCGAUUACAUCGCGGGACCCGAGUAGCCAGGAACGGCGACCGUGAUGUGCCCGAGCUUCACGACGGCGGCCGAGACGCGGCAGCAGUUGUAGGGUCCGACGGCGGAAAGGGGAGGGGCGCGCGCGCUACGGUUAUAAGAGACGACCGCGGGGGGCACUCGGCGGCGCGGCGAUGACGCGGCCACGUCGGCGGUCAAAGGUCGAGGCGAUAACGGCAGCUGCGGUGCACCCGGCAGCAGCGGCAGAACCGAACCGAAAGCCAUCGCGGGACUUCGAACGCGAUACGACAGUGUGACGACGUUGGGCGCGGGGCUCGAUCACAAAACGGUUCGCGUAGCCGAAAUAUAACGUGACCCAUCGACGACGACGAUAAUAACAACAAUAAUAACAACGAUAGCAAAAGCGACAAAAAUUAUAGUUGCAACAUCUGUGGAAAAAAAUUUAAGCAUAAAACAAUUGUUUAAACACGGUCUGGUGGCGGGAGGGCGCGGCGUAGGGCACUCCGCCGCCGCCGGUGCCGGUUCGUCAGCGACGCGCAGCAGCAGAUCCGAUGCGUCCGGCGCCAACGCCGCCGCCGUUCGUCAACGCCGUCUGCAGCAGCUUUACCGCCGCGUCGUGUUCCCGUCACGCCAGCCGCAGCCGCAGCCGCCGACGCCGACGGACCCGUAACGACAACUCACUGCCGCCAUGAAACUCCGCGACCGAGUGGUGGUCGGCUUCUGCCUGUCGCUGGUCCUGGUCACCGUGCUGUUCGUGGUCGACCUGCAGAACGAGAACGCCCGCCGGCAGGCCGUGGCCGACGGUGACGCUCAGUCGCACUUCCACGGCCGGUCCGAUCGGUCCCGGGACGCUAUCGACGCGCAAUCCGCCUGGAACGCGGCCGCGUCGUUCGUCAUGUCCACACUGGUGCCGUCAAGCCAGCCGUCGCCGACACGUACCGGGAGCGCCGCAACCGUAUCCUCACGCCGCCGACGGACGUCCUCCAAAGCCCGCGGUGCCCGACCUGUACGCCGGCGACAGGUUCGCCGAUCUCACUGAGCGCCUGUCCCGGUCGUCCGAAACACGGCGGCAUCGCGGCAACGUACCCGACUGGACCGUCGUCCGGGACGUGAUCGUCGACGACACGGACGACGACGGCACCACCAGCAACGAGUACGUCGUUGAGUACUUGGAAGACGGUUUGAGCCGAUUAGACUCCGAAAAAAUUACCAAACACACACAUGGUCCGUAUCGGUUCUGGAGAAACGAUCCACUUCCAAAUGUGACUUAUAGGAGACAGUAAAUAAUAAUCACAAUAAUAUAUUACAUUAUUACGGCUAUUUUGUGCUUAGUUUCGUUUGUGCUAAACCAUUAUCCAUUUAUUACAACAUAAUACUGCCAACAUGUUAACGAUGCAUUUUUAAUUUUUUUUAUAAG
Acyrthosiphon pisum (pea aphid) is the source of this 2092-nucleotide long non-coding RNA. RefSeq lists it as uncharacterized. The record is from RefSeq and is a predicted model, not a curated record. NCBI's taxonomy places the organism in Eukaryota, Metazoa, Arthropoda, Insecta, Hemiptera, Aphididae. The transcript has 3 exons.